GAGUCCGCGUUUCAUUAGCUACUUGGCGGGGUAACGGCCCACCAAGGCAACGAUGGAUAGCCGGUCUGAGAGGAUGACCGGCCACACUGGAACUGGAACACGGUCCAGACUCCUACGGGAGGCAGCAGUGGGGAAUAUUGCGCAAUGGGCGAAAGCCUGACGCACCGACGCCGCGAGAGGGAUGAAGGCCUUCGGGUCGUAAACCUCUGUCAGGGGGGAAGAAGUGUGCUUGUGCUAAUCAGCAGGCAUUUGACGGUACCCCCAAAGGAAGCACCGGCCAACUCCGUGCCAGCAGCCGCGGUAAU
This 305-nucleotide ribosomal RNA is filed under the name uncultured delta proteobacterium. RNAcentral's name for it is "bacterial SSU rRNA". It matches the Rfam family "Bacterial small subunit ribosomal RNA", at positions 227 to 524 of the family's 1533-position model. The record is from RNAcentral. Lineage: Bacteria; Deltaproteobacteria.